UGAUUCAAAACACUAGUAUGGAGAGCACAGACUGGAAAAAAUUAAUUCCAGCUGAGGAUUGAAGAAGGUUCUUAGGGAUGAUGAGUAACAGAAAAGGUUUUGUUUCACUGCCCUAACAAUAACUACACAAAAGUAGAAAAAUACACAGUAAGUUCACAUAGUGGCAAGUGGACCAACCUAGAUCAGUGCUUCUCAAAUUGUACGGUGGAAACAAAUUACCACAAAUCCUGUUUAAAUCAGAUUCCAAUUCACUGGGGUCUGAGACUGCAUUUGUAACCAGCUCCCAGGUGAUGUAACAGUCAUGGAACUGAAUAGUGAGGCUCUCCAGGAAAGAGAGUGGGGGUGAAGGAGAAGGCUGACAGCCUAAACAUCAACAGCUGUGAAUGGCAAAUGGUGACAAUAUGAUCAGAGCUGUGUGCUCUGGAAACACUGAUUUGCUGGGAACACAUAGAAUGGGGGCAGAAUAUUAGGAGAAUGAAGACCUUAUGAGGCUAUUUCAAUAGUUCUCAGAGGUAACUACACAACCACCCCAAACAUAGGAGAGGAAACUGAAAGGAGGCACUAAUUCCAGAGAUAUCAAAAAGACUUUCUUCACAGGCCAUGGUUAACAGAACAUAUCAUCAGUGAAAUCCCUUAGUGGACUCUCUUUCAUGGAUAGCAAAUACGUGUGUCAAAACUGUUGCUACUUCCUGUGCCAAAGGAAGACAGUGUUAAUGGAUCUAAGCCCUCUUUCUAAGCUCAGACCAGAUUUCAGCUCCAUCUUAACACAGUAUUCCAAAGAAUCCAUAACAAGGCACUGGCAUCUGAAGAUGAGGCCUUAUUCCUCUGCCAUUUUUUGACAUCAACUGUUAAUUCUCCUUUUAAAAUGCUGAGAGUGGAAUGGAUCUUCUGAAGUGGCAUGGAGAGUUCAAAUUUACAUUAAAAUUAAUACCCUAUAUGACCUUGAAAAUAUGGUGUUUAAAUUCAAUAUCAUGUCAUUUGUG
Molecule: long non-coding RNA, 983 nt
Filed under: Homo sapiens (human)
Lineage: Eukaryota; Metazoa; Chordata; Mammalia; Primates; Hominidae
Description: HSALNT0294176
Source: RNAcentral